This 23-nucleotide non-coding RNA is filed under the name Arabidopsis thaliana (thale cress). Lineage: Eukaryota; Viridiplantae; Streptophyta; Magnoliopsida; Brassicales; Brassicaceae. The record is from RNAcentral.
AUGCGUGACGGCUCAACAAUGCA